RNAcentral lists this long non-coding RNA (1208 nucleotides) under Anser brachyrhynchus (Pink-footed goose). RNAcentral describes it as "lncRNA (ENSABRG00000018339.1)". The record is from RNAcentral. Lineage: Eukaryota; Metazoa; Chordata; Aves; Anseriformes; Anatidae.
AUUAUGUGUUUUUUUUUUAAUUAAACAUGCAAAGAUAGAGAAGAUAUUAUUAGACUUUUUAUGUUCUCAUGGCUUAGAGAUGACUGACCUUAGAGCUUUUCAAGAUGUUUUACUAUCAGUUGUUUCACAUAAGUAGACAUUUCUCUUUUGCCUAAUUAUAAAGGACAGAUCUUGACCUCUGCCCCAAGAAGACCAAAUAAGCUAGACAGCUGAGGAUUCUCCCAGUGUAAUGGCUUUUAUAACCUAAGGUUUCUCCUAAGCUCUGUACUGGCGUAAAUAUCUGUACUCUGUAAAGAUGGAUCAAAGUUCUUUAGUAGAAGAAAAGCAGACUCUGUUUUCUCCAAUCUUUUUUCCAGACCAUGUGUAUCAAUUAAAAAAUGCAAGAAAUAUAUAUUAAAAUUUGUUAAAACAACAUAUCUGCUGAUCUGCCAAGAUAUGAUCCCUAACGGUACCGUUUAAUUGUAUCCUACUUUGUUACCUUCAAUGUGGAAAGAAAAAUUUAAAAAUAAAAUUGCUUUAGCAAAUUUCAAUAUAAGACCACAGAGAACAGAAUGUCUGAUUGUUUCCUUGACGUAGACCAAGACAGGAGCUGUCAGACUUUAGAAGAACCUGGAAGGGAAAUUUUAAUAGGGACUGCCCUGGGGGAACUUGCUAACUUGUCUAAAAGGGGUAAACUAACUUAAGCUUGUUCAGCUCUUCAUUAUUUCCCAAACACCUUGAGGGAAAAAAAAAAAAAAAGAAAAAAAAAGACUGAAGAAGAGGAGAGGGGGACCAUUGGCAGGGCAUGCUUUGCAGCACAACCUGAUCCCCAGAGUUUGGCCUCUGUUAUCUUCUUGAUCCACAGAUCCUUCCUAUGCAGCCUGAGCAGCAGUGCUACCUCACAAUUUCAUGUAAAGGCAGACACAACUAGAGAACACCAUGUUGCAGGAGCAAUGAAGAAUUCCCAGGUUAACUGCAGUAUCCUGAUGCUGCAUUCUGAUCCUGAUGACAAAUCUGGGAGUUAAAAUUGAGAUUUAUAUAAUGGCAGGAAUGACCUAAUGACCUUCUUGGCUAGAGGACAGAAUUACAUAAAAAAUUGGGAUAAUUUAUCACAGAGGACAUUCUUUUCUUCCAAACAUAUUCUUCCCUUUCCUCUUUCUCACAUGAACUCUCUUAAUGCUUUGUAUAAGAUCAUUAACUAAAUACACAAAGCAUGCUCUCCUGUUUUC